AGUCAAAUAUUCAUGAUCAUUUUACCACACAAUUUAAUAUCAUUUUAAUUUAAGCAGUAAAUUUAAAUUACCCAGCAUACAACACUGCUGUUACAAACACUUGUUAAUCCGGAAGUCAGUGGAUGACAGCAGAUUGAUUAAUUGUGAACAUACUUAUUUUCACAAGUGGGAAAUGAUAGCUAAAGGAAAGUAUCAUUUUGGUACUCACUGGGUAUGGGAAAUGGUACAGAUGAUAGUGAACGGCAAGACGGAAUACUACUCGAAAGCUUAAGAAUAUUGUACAAUGGAAUUCUAUUUACCAGAUGAAUAUAGUGAUUUACAGAGGCCAAGAAUAUUCAACUCUCAUUUUACCCCAAAAUGUUUACCAAAACAAGCGUUUGAAAAAAGGGUAAAAUGAUCAUUAUUGAACAAAACCGAAAGAUAUUCUUACAUCCCAGUAUCACCACUGGAAACUUUUAUUCCCUCAGAUCGCACUUCCAUGGUCAGACUUUCUAAAAAGUGUAUAUACAAAUGAUCGAAAUAUCCAUUCCAAUUGGUUCUUUUACCAAAAAAAAUGGUCUGAUUUCUUGGCAUCAAGUAACAACCCAUGCCUUGUAUUGAGACAUGAAGACAUAAAACAG
Mytilus trossulus (common blue mussel) is the source of this 620-nucleotide long non-coding RNA. RefSeq lists it as uncharacterized. The record is from RefSeq and is a predicted model, not a curated record. The transcript is spliced from 3 exons. Lineage: Eukaryota; Metazoa; Mollusca; Bivalvia; Mytilida; Mytilidae.